UCGAAAAUAUUUUUGAGCAGAAAUGUAAAUUCAAUUUAUUGUAGGUACUCAUUUAUUUGUGCGCAUGACAAUCUAAUUUCGAAUUCAAUUCUCAAGGACCGGAUAUUUUUCCGUAAUAAACUUAUCAGUUUUAAUGGCAGGUAUUUCAACUUGAAUUAUGAACAGGCAAUUACCAUUACUCUUUUCAGAAUGCAUCAUUAUUUGAAAAUCUCAAAAAAAUUAUACAUUGACAAACAAUGUAAUAAGUUCUGCUAUGCGGUUCCGUGCAACUGUGUUGUACUUUUAUUUAUAAGGAAACUUUAUUCACUGGAACAAAAUGAAAGUAACCAAGAAAUCGAUGUCAGUAGACGAUGUUGGGAAAGAAAACUCAUAAAAAGUUUCAAGAACUAUUAUUUUCAUCACCAAAACCAUUUUUUUUUCAAAGGACUACUAUGGUCGAAUUGUUUCGAAAAAAAGCUUGAGUGGCUCUUGUUCGUACCAAAUUUUAUCCACUUACACAUUCAGUAUUUCCGAGAAAACAUCUGAAAGGCCGGUGAGCAGAUUCUUCAUUUUUUUUUUAUAUCUCAAAAGGAAAAACUAGCUCCUUAUAAAAUGCGAAAUAAAAAACCAAAAAGAGAGUUCGAAGUAAUUAAGGCAUUCCUCAUCAAGAUCAAGUUCAUAUAUCUCCACUUUCUCUCUGUAACUUGUACCAAGAAAUCAUUCUCAGAUCACAGACCUUUAUCUACCUUGAACUAGCUCUGGAAAAUUACUUAGCAUUAAUUAAAAUAGAUUACGUAGAACACCUAGUUAACAGUGAAUAAAUUGUCACAGAGA
Molecule: long non-coding RNA, 813 nt
Organism: Coccinella septempunctata (seven-spotted ladybird)
Lineage: Eukaryota; Metazoa; Arthropoda; Insecta; Coleoptera; Coccinellidae
Exons: 2
Source: RefSeq, a predicted model, not a curated record